RNAcentral lists this long non-coding RNA (2128 nucleotides) under Ananas comosus (pineapple). RNAcentral describes it as "long non-coding RNA (ACOM_LNC034935)". The record is from RNAcentral. Lineage: Eukaryota; Viridiplantae; Streptophyta; Magnoliopsida; Poales; Bromeliaceae.
GCGUUCGACUCGAUAUUUGGCUCGCUCGAGCUCGACUCGAAAUUAAAUGAGCCGAGCUUGAACAAAAGAAAAAGCUCGAAAUUCAUUUCAAGCCAAGCUUGAGUAUUACUUGGCUCGCUCGAAUUAGGCUCGAAAAGCUCGAAUAUAUAUAUAUUAAAAAUAUAUAAAUAUAAUAUAUUUUAAUUAUAUAUAGACUAAGUGAGUAACCUGAGUUUAGUUAAAAUUGGGCCAAUAUUAAUUAUUGGUCCAUAGAAACAAACCUAAUAGACAAACAAAAGGGCAAAAUUUCACUAAAUUUAUGUUUUCUCCCUUUCUUUAUUUCUUUUACAGAUUUUUAAAUUUUCAAUCUCUUUCUCUCUCUCUCUUUUUCUCUGUCUCUCACCCCAAGUGGCCAAGUCUAAAGCCCUCUAAGUUACUAAGUAGUAGCACGCGUCUAUCGUUGCCUGCCUUGUCAUUAAUUGUAUACUUAAGAAAAUAUACAGAAUAUUAUUAAAGUAAAAAAUUAUUGUUUAUACUACUAAAAAUUCAUGAUUUAGCGGCAUUUACUCCGCAGCAUUUAUAUAAAUAACGCUAAUUAAUAUAUUUAACGGCAUUACUUGAUAAGUGCUGCUAAAUUAAAUAAUUUAGCAGUAAUUUACUAUUAAUAUUACAAAAUAGAAUAAAUUAGCGGCAUAAAUUAGUAAAUGCCGCUGAAAUUUUCGGUAUUUUAUAAAAAAUGACACUAAAUGUAAUAAAGUAGCAGGACUUUAUUGUUAAAUGCUGCAAUAUUUGCUCCGCAACAUUUAUUUAAAUCAUGUCAAUUAAUAUAUUUAGUAGCAUUAAUGAUAAUUGCCGCUAGAUUUAAUUAUUUAGCAGCAAUUUACUAUUAAUGUUGCAAAAUAAGAUAAAUUAGCAGCAUAAAUUAGUGAAUGCCGCUAAAUAUAAUAAACUAGCAGCACUUGUUACUAAAUAUCAUUACUAAUUAAUAUAUAAUUAUUAAUAUAUCCCUUUUUUAUUUAGAAUUAAAAAUUUUAAAAUUAAAGUUUAAAAUUCGAAACAUAUAAUUUUAAAAAUUAAAAUUAUAAUUUUAAAUUUUAAAUUUUAAAAUUUAUAUUUUAAAUUUUAAAUUCUAAAAUUAUUAAUUUUUAAAGUUUAAAUUUUAAAAUUUAUUUUAAAUUUCAAAUUUAAAACUCUUAAUUUUGAAACUUAAAAUUUCAUAUUUCAAAAUUAAAAAUUUAAAUUUAGUAUCUAAAUUUAAAAAUUUAAAAUUUAAAAUUUAAAAAUUUUAAAAUAUAAGACUUAAAAUAUAAAAAUUAAAAUAUACAUAACUAAUAGUCGCUAGCGCAAGUGGCAAAGGGCUUGGUUGUUGGUACUUGAGGUCUCAAGUUCGAAACCUAGUUGAUUCACAUUUCCAGCAAAGUUUAAGACAAAAAGAAAAUGAAGCGGGUAGCAUCUCAAAAAAAUUAAAUAUAAAAUAAAAUUACAAUUUUAAAAUUUUAAUUUCUAAAAGCAGAUAUUUGUAUUAGCGGCAUAUUAUUUAUGUGCCGCUAAUAAACAAUUUAAAAUUUGCAUUUAAUCUCUUUUAGCGGUAUAUUCCUAAUAACACUAAUUGAUUUAUAUUGGCGGCAUUUAUAAUUAAUGUUGCUAAUGCUUUUAGCAAUAUUGGUAUAGGCAGUAUUUGGUGUCAUAUGCUGCUAAAAUUUUUAGCAGCAUUUGUUGGUCAUUUAGCAGCAUAAAUAAAUGCCGCUAAUGACUAAUUUUCUAAUAGUAUAUAUAAAAUUUUGAUUUUAAUUAUAUAUGAUUGGAUAGUUUAAUCCAGUAUUUAUGUAUAUAAUUUAUUUAUUUUUUGGCCGCAUAAAUGAAAAGUAAUAAUUUGGAGAUUGAAGGCAGAAGAGAAGAUAUGUGAGGCUGAAGAGAUUAUAUAUUCAACUCAUACGUUAUUUUUCUUCAUAUUAUAAUACUGUAUUUUAUAUAAUUAUUUUGUACUUUGAACUAUUAUACAUAUUUUUGUAUUAAAUUGUAGAUAAUGUUCUAUACAAUUAAACUAUUGAUCGUAUGAUGUUGAGAAUUUCAAGCGGCUCGUUUAGGGCUCGAGCUCGCUUGACUCGAAAUUAGGCUCGCUCGAACUCGGCUUGAAUUAAUUUCAAAU